RNAcentral lists this transfer RNA (71 nucleotides) under Marmota monax (woodchuck). RNAcentral describes it as "tRNA.Ala". The stretch from base 1 to 63 matches the Rfam family "tRNA". Rfam says of the family: Transfer RNA (tRNA) molecules are approximately 80 nucleotides in length. Their secondary structure includes four short double-helical elements and three loops (D, anti-codon, and T loops). Lineage: Eukaryota; Metazoa; Chordata; Mammalia; Rodentia; Sciuridae. The record is from RNAcentral.
GGGGUUGUGGCUCAGUGGUAGAGUGCCUGCCUAGCAAGCAUGAGGCACUGGGUUCCAUCCCCACCACCACA